Molecule: ribosomal RNA, 169 nt
Filed under: Mycena sp.
Lineage: Eukaryota; Fungi; Basidiomycota; Agaricomycetes; Agaricales; Mycenaceae
Description: partial large subunit ribosomal RNA
Rfam family: Eukaryotic large subunit ribosomal RNA
Source: RNAcentral
CGGGAAAAGCUCAAAUUUAAAAUCUGGUAGUCUAUGGCUGCCCGAGUUGUAAUCUAGAGAAGUGUUAUCCGCGUUGGACCGUGUACAAGUCUCCUGGAAUGGAGCGUCAUAGAGGGUGAGAAUCCCGUCUUUGACACGGACUACCAGUGCUUUGUGAUGCGCUCUCAAA